AGUAUAGGAGGUCCAGCCUGCCCAGUGACUACGGGUUCAACGGCCGCGGUAUUUUGACCGUGCAAAGGUAGCGCAAUCACUUGUCUCUUAAAUAGAGACCUGUAUGAAUGGCUAGACGAGGGCUUAACUGUCUCCCCCUUCCAGUCAGUGAAAUUGAUCUAUCCGUGCAGAAGCGGGUGUAAUUAUACAAGACGAGAAGACCCUAUGGAGCUUGAGGUACAAAGUUCAACCACGUUAAAUGACUCUACAAAAAGCAAGAACCUAGUGGCCAGUGAAAUUUUACCUUCGGUUGGGGCGACCACGGAGGAAAGAUAAGCCUCCGAGUGGACUGGGCUAAACCCCCAAAGCCAAGAGAUACAUCUAUAAGCCGCAGAACAUCUGACCAAAAAUGAUCCGACUGAAAAGCCGAUCAACGAACCAAGUUACCCUAGGGAUAACAGCGCAAUCCUCUCCCAGAGUCCAUAUCGACGAGGGGGUUUACGACCUCGAUGUUGGAUCAGGACAUCCUAAUGGUGCAGCCGCUAUUAAGGGUUCGUUUG
RNAcentral lists this ribosomal RNA (539 nucleotides) under Sarmarutilus rubilio. Its description in RNAcentral is "partial 16S ribosomal RNA". It matches the Rfam family "Bacterial large subunit ribosomal RNA", at positions 1842 to 2579 of the family's 2925-position model. The record is from RNAcentral. Lineage: Eukaryota; Metazoa; Chordata; Actinopteri; Cypriniformes; Leuciscidae.